This 490-nucleotide long non-coding RNA is filed under the name Sorghum bicolor (sorghum). RNAcentral describes it as "long non-coding RNA (SBIC_LNC004285)". Lineage: Eukaryota; Viridiplantae; Streptophyta; Magnoliopsida; Poales; Poaceae. The record is from RNAcentral.
CCUUAUCAAAUAUACUUGCUCCUUCUUCAUUUGAGCAAUAACUUGAUUUUGGUAUGAUCAUUUCCAAUGAAACAUAUUCAAAGACUCCUCAAACACAUUAGUCCUUUACUUGUUUUGUAACCCGACCACCAAAAACUCAUUGGAGAGCCUAUAUGCACUUCACCAGCGGUAUAUUUUGAUCUUAACUGAAAGUGACCAGUGUGAGAGGCCAUUAGAAAUGGGUAGUUAUCACUGACAUCAGUUUGAGAACCACAAGUACAACACAGUACAACACAUAUCUUCAUUGGCAGCAGCUCUAUACUAAUCACCAGUGUAAGAGAAUUUAUACUUGUAUUCCAGCAGAAAGCCCAAUGGAGGACCUAGGAAAGAAACUAGAUAGGGCGAACCCUUGUCACUAAGUAAACCAAAAAAAACAAAAAGAAAGAACAUGUAUACCACAUUCACGUAUUAAUCACAAAUUAUUGCAAAAUAUAAUGGCCAAAAAACGGCG